GACGAACGCUGGCGGCGUGCUUAACACAUGCAAGUCGAACGGAAAGGCCUGCUUUCCCUUGUGGAUUGCGGGUACUCGAGUGGCGAACGGGUGAGUAACACGUGAGUGAUCUGCCCCCAACUUGGGUAUAAGCCUGGGAAACUGGGUCUAAUUCCCGAUAGGACUGCAGGGUGGUGCCUGUGGUGGAAAACGAUUUUCUAGUGGUUGGGGAUGAGCUCGCGGCCUAUCAGCUUGUUGGUGGGGUAAUGGCCUACCAAGGCGGCGACGGGUAGCCGGCCUGGGAGGGUGGACGGCCACAUUGGGACUGAGAUACGGCCCAGACUCCUACGGGAGGCAGCAGUGGGGAAUAUUGCACAAUGGGCGGAAGCCUGAUGCAGCGACGCCGCGUGGGGGAUGACGGCCUUCGGGUUGUAAACUCCUUUCGACCGCGAGGAAGCCACCUGGCUGGAAGGGUGGUGACGGUAGUGGUAGAAGAAGCACCGGCUAACUACGUG
This 494-nucleotide ribosomal RNA is filed under the name uncultured bacterium. RNAcentral's name for it is "partial 16S ribosomal RNA". It matches the Rfam family "Bacterial small subunit ribosomal RNA", at positions 28 to 507 of the family's 1533-position model. The record is from RNAcentral.